AUGCUCUAGUUUCUCUUCAGAUCAUAUAAGUCUUUUGCCUUUUACUGAAGAUUCCCAUGGAGAGGAACACCUCAGAGUUUUUAAAUUAAUUUUCGAGGUCUUGCUUUAGCAGGGCU
Chlorocebus sabaeus (green monkey) is the source of this 116-nucleotide small nuclear RNA. Its record names the gene U5. It matches the Rfam family "U5 spliceosomal RNA". Rfam says of the family: U5 RNA is a component of both types of known spliceosome. The precise function of this molecule is unknown, though it is known that the 5' loop is required for splice site selection and p220 binding, and that both the 3' stem-loop and the Sm site are important for Sm protein binding and cap methylation. Lineage: Eukaryota; Metazoa; Chordata; Mammalia; Primates; Cercopithecidae. The record is from Ensembl.